AUGAGUAUCAUGUGCUGGAAUUGCCGUGGGGCGGGAAACCCUGCGACAAUUCAUGAGCUUCGUGUUUUGACAAAGCGUUUUGCCCCCACCAUCCUUUUUAUUCUUGAAACUCAGGUGGAGAGACAAAGGGUGGAGUUUUUAUUAAAUUCUUUAGGUUAUAAUAAAAGUUUUGCUGUUAGUAGUUCUGGUAGAAGUGGUGGCUUGUGUGUUUUU
RNAcentral lists this ribosomal RNA (213 nucleotides) under Triticum aestivum (bread wheat). Its description in RNAcentral is "partial small subunit ribosomal RNA". The record is from RNAcentral. Lineage: Eukaryota; Viridiplantae; Streptophyta; Magnoliopsida; Poales; Poaceae.